UUCAAACCAAUUUAUAAGCAGUCUGGGCUUAAGCCCAAACUGGAUGGGGGUGAGAUAUUUAACAGAAAUAGGGGUGUGGAUUGAGGAAAAGGUUUCUUUGUUUUUAUGUUUUUAUGUUUUUUUUUUUUAUUUUAAGAGAAAUGAAAUGAGUCUGGCCCAAGACUUGGCCCAAGGGUUGUGCUUCUGCAGAAGCAUUAGGGGUUCUCACGAACCUCCCUCAAACCUCUCAUUCACUCAGCCUCCAAAGACCUGAAGUCUCUCUUCCAAACGCAGCCAAAGGAAAGGUUCGUAUCCUCCGCCCACACACGCCACCGUCAGCGGCUUCAGCCAAACGAACCGGCCACCACGAGGGCGUGUCCACAGCGAUGUCAGCGCCCUCGCCGGUUGCGCCAGACCACCAUCGUUCAUCUUCUUCUCUGCGCGCGAUGGAGGAACUCUCCCUGUUCGAGAAUGCACCAGCCACCGCGGGCUAUGGCGUCGUUGGCGACUCCAAGCGUCACCGAAGCUGCCGCCCAAGUUGUCACCAACUUCACUGUUCGUCGUCGAGACCGUCUCCGGCAGCCGCCCCAACUCCUACCCUUUUCCUUUUUCGCGUUCGAGGGAGGAAGUCGCCUCACCUUGCGACGCCACCGCUGUCCUCGCCAGAGAUGCUUCCUCACCAGCGCCACCAACGCCGCUCUCUUCCCUCUCCGUUCGAGGGUUUCCUCAAAC
This 711-nucleotide long non-coding RNA is filed under the name Vigna radiata. RNAcentral describes it as "long non-coding RNA (VRAD_LNC004471)". Lineage: Eukaryota; Viridiplantae; Streptophyta; Magnoliopsida; Fabales; Fabaceae. The record is from RNAcentral.